Apis dorsata (giant honeybee) is the source of this 447-nucleotide long non-coding RNA. RefSeq lists it as uncharacterized. NCBI's taxonomy places the organism in Eukaryota, Metazoa, Arthropoda, Insecta, Hymenoptera, Apidae. The record is from RefSeq and is a predicted model, not a curated record. The transcript has 2 exons.
UUUCUUAUCUAAUCUAUUUUUAAAUUUGGAGAUAGAUGGCGCAGCAUAGUUAUGUGUGUGUUAUUUAUGGAAAAGUUCGUUAGAAAUUGAUAGUUCUAUUAUCUUUUUUAAAUGCUACAUUUAAUAGUAUUCCUUCCCGAGUUAAAAAUUUGUUGUUUAUUCCUAUCUAACUUCCAACCAAUUGCUUACUUCACAAAUUAUUUCUUCUUUCAAUUUCUUACUUGAUAUAAUUCAUCAACAAAAAAUAGUUUUGAAAAAUGGAACAUGUCUCUUAGAAUUUCUAUAUUCAAACUACCGAGAAUUGCCAAGCACGCACAUGUAGGAAGUAACAAGAUUCUUUCGUAGGCGAGUUUCGCUUGGCAAAGUAUAGAUAAUCAAGGGAAUAGAUAUCUAUCUACCUGAAAAAUUAGAAAUAUAAAGAGAAAAGAUAAAUGAAGAAAAAAAAAA